UUAUUAAAUUUUAAUACAUGAAUUAUGAAAGAUAAUAUUUGAGAUUAAUUCUUAUUAUUUAUAUUAAGCUGAGUAGUUUGGAUUAACUACAGAAACUAUAGUCACAUUUUGACGCGGCCAUUUUAUCAUAUUUUUCAUUAUGAGAAAGAGGGGCGCGGGAGGUAUAUUAAUCAGUAGUAUAUUAACCAAGUGAAAAAUGAAUCGAAAAUAUUGAAGAAGAAGAAGAAGAAGGUAUAAGUUGGUCUCCACGCAGUCCGGAUUUAACACCUACGGACUUUUUCCUGUGAGGUUACGCUAAUAAACCGAUUUCCGUGGUGGUACAAUAUCCGUCACGAAAUGGCAGCCAUUAUUUGUCAAGAAAUAAAUUGUCGUGUCGAUAUGUAAA
Long non-coding RNA from Diorhabda carinulata, 385 nucleotides. RefSeq lists it as uncharacterized. The transcript has 2 exons. The record is from RefSeq and is a predicted model, not a curated record. NCBI's taxonomy places the organism in Eukaryota, Metazoa, Arthropoda, Insecta, Coleoptera, Chrysomelidae.